CACACCGCCCGUCACACCAUGGGAGUUGAUUGCUCCAGAAGCCGGUGGUCCAACGCAAGAGGAAGCCGUCCAAGGAGUGAUUAGUAACUGGGGUG
Molecule: ribosomal RNA, 95 nt
Filed under: uncultured bacterium
Lineage: Bacteria
Description: partial 16S ribosomal RNA
Rfam family: Bacterial small subunit ribosomal RNA
Source: RNAcentral